UGCGCGGUAGUCAGUGGUAGAGCUUUCGAUUGCAGCUCGAAGGGUCACUGGUUCGAACCCGGUCUCGCGCUU
This 72-nucleotide transfer RNA is filed under the name Pythium insidiosum. RNAcentral's name for it is "tRNA-Cys". It matches the Rfam family "tRNA". Rfam says of the family: Transfer RNA (tRNA) molecules are approximately 80 nucleotides in length. Their secondary structure includes four short double-helical elements and three loops (D, anti-codon, and T loops). Further hydrogen bonds mediate the characteristic L-shaped molecular structure. tRNAs have two regions of fundamental functional importance: the anti-codon, which is responsible for specific mRNA codon recognition, and the 3' end, to which the tRNAs corresponding amino acid is attached (by aminoacyl-tRNA synthetases). tRNAs cope with the degeneracy of the genetic code in two manners: having more than one tRNA (with a specific anti-codon) for a particular amino acid; and 'wobble' base-pairing, i.e. permitting non-standard base-pairing at the 3rd anti-codon position. The record is from RNAcentral. Lineage: Eukaryota; Oomycota; Peronosporomycetes; Pythiales; Pythiaceae.